RNAcentral lists this ribosomal RNA (484 nucleotides) under uncultured bacterium. RNAcentral describes it as "partial 16S ribosomal RNA". It matches the Rfam family "Bacterial small subunit ribosomal RNA", at positions 30 to 507 of the family's 1533-position model. The record is from RNAcentral.
AUUGAACGCUGGCGGCAGGCCUAACACAUGCAAGUCGAGCGGAUGAAGGGAGCUUGCUCCUGGAUUCAGCGGCGGACGGGUGAGUAAUGCCUAGGAAUCUGCCUGGUAGUGGGGGAUAACGCCCGGAAACGGGCGCUAAUACCGCAUACGUCCUGAGGGAGAAAGUGGGGGAUCUUCGGCCCUCACGCUAUCAGAUGAGCCUAGGUCGGAUUAGCUAGUUGGUGGGGUAAAGGCCUACCAAGGCGACGAUCCGUAACUGGUCUGAGAGGAUGAUCAGUCACACUGGAACUGAGACACGGUCCAGACUCCUACGGGAGGCAGCAGUGGGGAAUAUUGGGCAAUGGGCGAAAGCCUGAUCCAGCCAUGCCGCGUGUGUGAAGAAGGUCUUCGGAUUGUAAAGCACUUUAAGUUGGGAGGAAGGGCAGUAAGUUAAUACCUUGCUGUUUUGACGUUACCAACAGAAUAGGCACCGGCUAACUUCGUG